GACGAACGCUGGCGGCGUGCUUAACACAUGCAAGUCGUACGGUAAGGCCCUUUCGGGGGUACACGAGUGGCGAACGGGUGAGUAACACGUGAGUAACCUGCCCACAACUUUGGGAUAACGCUAGGAAACUGGUGCUAAUACUGGAUAUGUUCUCCUGCUGCAUGGUGGGGGUUGGAAAGCUCCGGCGGUUGUGGAUGGACUCGCGGCCUAUCAGCUUGUUGGUGGGGUAGUGGCCUACCAAGGCGGCGACGGGUAGCCGGCCUGAGAGGGUGACCGGCCACAUUGGGACUGAGAUACGGCCCAGACUCCUACGGGAGGCAGCAGUGGGGAAUAUUGCACAAUGGGCGCAAGCCUGAUGCAGCAACGCCGCGUGCGGGAGGACGGCCUUCGGGUUGGAAACCGCUUUCAGCAGGGACGAAGCUUUUUGUGACGGUACCUGCAGAAGAAGCACCGGCUAACUACGUG
This 465-nucleotide ribosomal RNA is filed under the name uncultured bacterium. RNAcentral describes it as "partial 16S ribosomal RNA". It matches the Rfam family "Bacterial small subunit ribosomal RNA", at positions 28 to 507 of the family's 1533-position model. The record is from RNAcentral.